GAUGUACGCUGGCGGCGUGCCUAAUACAUGCAAGUCGAGCGAACAGACGAGGAGCUUGCUCCUCUGACGUUAGCGGCGGACGGGUGAGUAACACGUGGAUAACCUACCUAUAAGACUGGGAUAACUUCGGGAAACCGGAGCUAAUACCGGAUAAUAUAUUGAACCGCAUGGUUCAAUAGUGAAAGACGGUUUUGCUGUCACUUAUAGAUGGAUCCGCGCCGCAUUAGCUAGUUGGUAAGGUAACGGCUUACCAAGGCAACGAUGCGUAGCCGACCUGAGAGGGUGAUCGGCCACACUGGAACUGAGACACGGUCCAGACUCCUACGGGAGGCAGCAGUAGGGAAUCUUCCGCAAUGGGCGAAAGCCUGACGGAGCAACGCCGCGUGAGUGAUGAAGGUCUUCGGAUCGUAAAACUCUGUUAUUAGGGAAGAACAAAUGUGUAAGUAACUAUGCACGUCUUGACGGUACCUAAUCAGAAAGCCACGGCUAACUACGU
RNAcentral lists this ribosomal RNA (496 nucleotides) under uncultured bacterium. Its description in RNAcentral is "partial 16S ribosomal RNA". It matches the Rfam family "Bacterial small subunit ribosomal RNA", at positions 28 to 506 of the family's 1533-position model. The record is from RNAcentral.